ACCAAAUGGGAUUCUUCAAGUAAUGGCGAAUGAACCUAGAUAUGCUCAAUUUGAAAAAUACAGUGAUACUGUUUGACAUGUAAUUUCAAAAUGUACAACCAAUUGGCAUGCAAGUGGAAGCUCAUUGAAAGAAUGCGUCGAAGAAGGUGAAAAUCCAUUUUGCCACUUGUAAUGUUGUUGUUUAUGGUGUAUAUUUCAGGAGUCACAUUCCUUGGCAUUGGAAUGCAAUGUGGGUGGUAAACUUCAUGCAAAGAUUAAUAUGUGUUUGAGAUUGAUAGUACACAAAUACCGUGAGGGAAAUAUGAAAAGGACUUUGAAAAGAGAUUUAAAAGAGUUUGCAGUUGCUGAACAAAAAACAAAUAGGAUGUCCACGAUUGAGCAGAUUGUUGAACCUCGGUUUGCUUCAAUUGCUAGCAUGUGUGUAUUCAAUGAUUCUAUCUUUGUCUACCAUACCAUUCUCAGCGUAUCAUGACACUUGCAGGUGCUUCGUGUUUUUGCUUGCGAGCUAAUGACAACACCUGCUUGAGAAUGGUAUGCCAAGUGUUCAUUGUGCUUAGAGUCUGCAUGGUGCUAUUGUUAAGCUGCAGGUUUGAACUUGUGCUUUGAGCUGUGCUCUACCUUUUGCAUAUGUCUAUUGGUGAUCAUAUCCUGCUUGACCCGUCUUGAAC
This 668-nucleotide ribosomal RNA is filed under the name Coolia canariensis. RNAcentral describes it as "LSU rRNA". It matches the Rfam family "Eukaryotic large subunit ribosomal RNA", at positions 64 to 659 of the family's 3401-position model. The record is from RNAcentral. Lineage: Eukaryota; Dinophyceae; Peridiniales; Ostreopsidaceae.